UAACGCGUGGAUAACCUGCCUCACACUGGGGGAUAACAGUUAGAAAUGACUGCUAAUACCGCAUAAGCGCACAGUACCGCAUGGUACAGUGUGAAAAACUCCGGUGGUGUGAGAUGGAUCCGCGUCUGAUUAGCCAGUUGGCGGGGUAACGGCCCACCAAAGCGACGAUCAGUAGCCGACCUGAGAGGGUGACCGGCCACAUUGGGACUGAGACAUGGCCCAA
This 223-nucleotide ribosomal RNA is filed under the name uncultured bacterium. RNAcentral describes it as "partial 16S ribosomal RNA". It matches the Rfam family "Bacterial small subunit ribosomal RNA", at positions 111 to 334 of the family's 1533-position model. The record is from RNAcentral.